CACGUCUCUGUGUGAAACUGUGGCUGGAUCUUGUUCAAUACUUUCUCCAUAAGAGCAUACGCCUGUUAUCUAACUGAAGGUUGAUGCCGACUCGACUCUAGAAAAAAUAAUGUUCCACGUGUCGUUAGUUUAUGUAUGUGUUCUUGACACUAUUGUAGAAAAUGUCAAAAUUUCCGACACUUCAAGAAGCUCUUGAUCUAGUGCUGGCAGGUGAUGCAGAUAUUAUCAGCAUUUUACCGCCAGAAGAUAACCAACUGCUUACAGACGAAAAAAAAUAUUGAUGAUGAUUUGCUUGAAAGCAAUGAGAAUGUACAACCGACGAACACAGUUUAUCGCAUUAUGUUUCUGGGAGAGUAUAUGUCAGUAAAAAUGACAUGGAUGAAGAUUAUGGUGAUAAUGAACCACUAGGUUCAUCCCGUGAAAAUUUGAGCACUAAGCACAAAAAAGGGAAAAUAUUAGAUCGCAUGGAAGUGAAAUGAAGAAAAUGAAAAACUAAAAACUUUCCUCAAAAGAAUUAUAUUAGACCACUGACUGAGUACUACCCAGAGCUAUGCUCACUUCCCCCUGGUGAAAUGUUUUUAAUAAAGAUAUUUAAAAUAUGAUAGUAGAAGAAAUACUCAGGUAUGCUCAAUAAAAUGCAAAUUCCCUAAAUUUACAAAUAACAAUGCAAGUCUCUUAUAUUUUUCUGGCAUAUUCAUUUCGUCAGGUUACCAUAAACUUCCAAGAGGGAAAUGAACAAGGAAAGAUCAAAUGAUGUUAUUGUUCCACGUUUCAAAAAUAAUGUCUAGAAACAUAUUUCGAUAAACAAAACGUUACUUACACAUAUCAACUAAUAACAACUUGGACACCACAGAUGAAGUUGCAAACUGAGACCACUCCUCGAAUUGACAAAUAAAUCAUUGCAACAGUUUGAUGUUUUUCAGGAGAAUCUUUCAAUUGAUGAAUGUAUGGUCCAAUAUUUUGUAAAAUAAUUAUUCAAGGAAAUUCAAUAAAGUUUGGUUACAAACUGUGGUGUUUAUAUUCACCCUAUGGUUAUCCUUUCAAGUUUUAUAUCUGUUGUAGUAGGAUAAUGUCUACUGAUGACGUCCUCUAGGUACAAGGGUUGUUGAAGAUAUGCUUUCUUGUAUUAACGAUCUUAGUAUUCAUACAGUUUUGUUUGACAAUUUUUCCCCUUCUGUAAUUUCAUGUCGAGAUUCCAAGAAAAAAUGUGAGAGCAACAGGGGCAGUUUGGG
Long non-coding RNA from Limulus polyphemus (Atlantic horseshoe crab), 1232 nucleotides. RefSeq lists it as uncharacterized. The record is from RefSeq and is a predicted model, not a curated record. NCBI's taxonomy places the organism in Eukaryota, Metazoa, Arthropoda, Merostomata, Xiphosura, Limulidae. The transcript is spliced from 2 exons.